UACAGAGGGUGCAAGCGUUGUUCGGAAUCAUUGGGCGUAAAGCGCGUGUAGGCGGCCCGGUAAGUCCGCUGUGAAAGUCGGGGGCUCAACCCUCGGAAGCCGGUGGAUACUGUCGGGCUCGAGUACGGAAGAGGCGAGUGGAAUUCCUGGUGUAGCGGUGAAAUGCGCAGAUAUCAGGAGGAACACCAAUUGCGAAGGCAGCUCGCUGGGACGUAACUGACGCUGAGACGCGAAAGCGUGGGGAGCAAACAGG
RNAcentral lists this ribosomal RNA (253 nucleotides) under uncultured bacterium. RNAcentral's name for it is "partial 16S ribosomal RNA". It matches the Rfam family "Bacterial small subunit ribosomal RNA", at positions 524 to 776 of the family's 1533-position model. The record is from RNAcentral.